AUACGGAGGGUGCGAGCGUUAAUCGGAAUUACUGGGCGUAAAGCGUGCGUAGGCGGUUUGUUAAGUCAGAAGUGAAAGCCCUGGGCUCAACCUGGGAACGGCUUUUGAGACUGGCGGACUCGAGUUGAGUAGAGGGGAGUGGAAUUUCCGGUGUAGCGGUGAAAUGCGUAGAGAUCGGAAGGAACACCAGUGGCGAAGGCGACUCCCUGGACUCAAACUGACGCUGAGGUACGAAAGCGUGGGUAGCAAACAGGAUUAGAUACCCUAGUAGUCC
RNAcentral lists this ribosomal RNA (274 nucleotides) under uncultured bacterium. RNAcentral describes it as "partial 16S ribosomal RNA". It matches the Rfam family "Bacterial small subunit ribosomal RNA", at positions 523 to 796 of the family's 1533-position model. The record is from RNAcentral.